RNAcentral lists this ribosomal RNA (735 nucleotides) under Triticum aestivum (bread wheat). Its description in RNAcentral is "partial small subunit ribosomal RNA". The record is from RNAcentral. Lineage: Eukaryota; Viridiplantae; Streptophyta; Magnoliopsida; Poales; Poaceae.
UCCAACCCGGAUUCCCUGUGUGCAAGAGUAUUGAAAGCAAAAUACUUCCCUAAUGAAAGUUUAUUACAAGCUACCCUGAAGAGUGGUGCUUCGUUUACGUGGCAGAGCAUUAUGAAAGGUAUUGAAACAUUUAAGUUGGGGUAUAUCUGGAGGGUUGGUACCGGUGAGAACAUUAACAUCUGGAGCGACCCCUGGAUACCGUCUAGUCCGGAUAGGAGAGUUUUAUCAAAUCGGGGGCAAACACUGAUAUCACGAGUUCAUGAUCUAAUUGACCCUAUGACUGGUUUUUGGGACGAGGAUCUGAUCAGAUCUAUAUUCAUAUCGGUUGAUGUAGACAGGAUCUUGCAAAUUCCCCUCAACUAUGGGGCUUUCGAGGACUUUAUCGCAUGGCACCCGGAUCAUAAAGGGUUUUUCUCUGUGAAAUCAGCAUACAAAGUACAAUGGAUACGAUCUUUCCAGGUACAUGCAACGGUGAUGGCGCGACCUGGAGGCUCAAGAACUCUAGCAGUGUGGAGUACACUAUGGAAACAAAAGGUCCCAUGUAAAAUUCAAAUUUUUUGUUGGCGUGCUCUACAUGGUAUUAUUCCGCUAAAGUCCAUACUCACGAACCGUCAUAUUGGAACUAAUGGGGCAUGUCCUAUAUGUUAUCAAGAUGCGGAAGAUGUCCGCCGCCUACUGUUUGAUUGUUGCAAUGCCAAGCACCUCUGGGAACGCCUAGGAAUAGCGGGAAUGAUU